CCAUGUGACAGACACAGACAAGACAGACAGACAGACGCACAGUCUCACGUGUUUCCCAGGGCGAUGUUGGCCUGUCAACUACACACCAAUGCAAGGACCAACAGAGCACCAAUCUUCUGCCAUUCCACAGAGGAAAAAGAAAACUUGGGCUAUGCCAUUGCCUGCUGUUUUGCUGGUCUGCAGGUAGUUAUGUUUAAAGGGCAGAGCACUUCCAAUUGCUUGGCACUACCAGAGCCAAGCUGGUUGUAUAGUAGAAGGUGUCUUUGCCACUUUCAUCCAUUUCCAGAGAGGGUCCAUGAGGUGAAACUGACAACCAGUUGCUGCUCACUGCUUUACCAUGGCACUCACCGGCGUGCAGCUGCUGUAAGCAGCAGUCGUGACAGACAAAUAAACAAUUGAGAAUA
Haemorhous mexicanus (house finch) is the source of this 404-nucleotide long non-coding RNA. RefSeq lists it as uncharacterized. The transcript is spliced from 2 exons. Lineage: Eukaryota; Metazoa; Chordata; Aves; Passeriformes; Fringillidae. The record is from RefSeq and is a predicted model, not a curated record.